This 410-nucleotide long non-coding RNA is filed under the name Olea europaea subsp. europaea. The record is from RNAcentral. Lineage: Eukaryota; Viridiplantae; Streptophyta; Magnoliopsida; Lamiales; Oleaceae.
CUCUAGGGUAAUAUUCAAGUAUAAGUGUAUUAACGUUCAUUAAUUGGAAAGUAUAAACUUGUAAAACCUAGUUGAGUACCUGUUACAGUUGUGAAGUUGUCGACCUCAUUACCUCUUAGAUCAAGCUCCUCCAAAUUACUCAAAGCACGUAGAUCUAGAUGGAGGUAGAGAAAUAAAAAUGUACAAGCAAAUUGUGAAAAUGAUGAUUGAAAACUCAGUUUUGCUAGACACAAAUAAGAAAAAUAAGGAGUUCUAAACUGUGGAACUAACCUUUCAUUUGGAUGGUUCCUUUUAGUUCAUUGUAAGAGAUAUCUAGAGACUUGAGUGAUUAUAGCCCAUGAACUGUGGAGAAAAUGCUAUUAUUGAAAUAAUUUGAUUGUAAAUUAAGGACCGUCAAUUAUUUUAGGCCG